Molecule: ribosomal RNA, 433 nt
Filed under: uncultured bacterium
Lineage: Bacteria
Description: partial 16S ribosomal RNA
Rfam family: Bacterial small subunit ribosomal RNA
Source: RNAcentral
AGCGAACGCUGGCGGCAGGCCUAACACAUGCAAGUCGAACGAACUCUUCGGAGUUAGUGGCGGACGGGUGAGUAACACGUGGGAACGUGCCUUUUGGUUCGGAAUAACUCAGGGAAACUUGUGCUAAUACCGAAUGUGCCCUUCGGGGGAAAGAUUUAUCGCCAAUAGAGCGGCCCGCGUCUGAUUAGCUAGUUGGUGAGGUAACGGCUCACCAAGGCGACGAUCAGUAGCUGGUCUGAGAGGAUGACCAGCCACACUGGGACUGAGACACGGCCCAGACUCCUACGGGAGGCAGCAGUGGGGAAUCUUGCGCAAUGGGCGAAAGCCUGACGCAGCCAUGCCGCGUGAAUGAUGAAGGUCUUAGGAUUGUAAAAUUCUUUCACCGGGGACGAUAAUGACGGUACCCGGAGAAGAAGCCCCGGCUAACUUCGUG